CCUUUUCCUUUGUUGCCAACGGUUCGGCCGGGAACUCAAAGGAGACUGCCAGUGAUAAACUGGAGGAAGGUGGGGAUGACGUCAAGUCAUCAUGGCCCUUACGAGUAGGGCUACACACGUGCUACAAUGGCAUAUACAAAGAGAAGCGACCUCGCGAGAGCAAGCGGACCUCAUAAAGUAUGUCGUAGUCCGGAUUGGAGUCUGCAACUCGACUCCAUGAAGUCGGAAUCGCUAGUAAUCGUGGAUCAGAAUGCCACGGUGAAUACGUUCCCGGGCCUUGUACACACCGCCCGUCACACCAUGGGAGUGGGUUGCAAAAGAAGUAGGUAGCUUAACCUUCGGGAGGGCGCUUACCACUUUGU
Molecule: ribosomal RNA, 362 nt
Filed under: Yokenella regensburgei
Lineage: Bacteria; Pseudomonadati; Pseudomonadota; Gammaproteobacteria; Enterobacterales; Enterobacteriaceae
Description: bacterial SSU rRNA
Rfam family: Bacterial small subunit ribosomal RNA
Source: RNAcentral